Molecule: ribosomal RNA, 253 nt
Filed under: uncultured bacterium
Lineage: Bacteria
Description: partial 16S ribosomal RNA
Rfam family: Bacterial small subunit ribosomal RNA
Source: RNAcentral
GACGUAGGGCGCGAGCGUCGUCCGGAUUUAUUGGGCGUAAAGAGCUCGUAGGCGGCUCGUCGCGUCUGCCGUGAAAACCCGCAGCUCAACUGCGGGCUUGCGGUUGAUACGGGCGGGCUAGAGUUCGGUAGGGGAGACUGGAAUUCCUGGUGUAGCGGUGAAAUGCGCAGAUAUCAGGAGGAACACCGGUGGCGAAGGCGGAUCUCUGGGCCAUUACUGACGCUGAGGAGCGAAAGCGUGGGGAGCGAACAGG